RNAcentral lists this ribosomal RNA (1402 nucleotides) under Enterococcus durans. Its description in RNAcentral is "bacterial SSU rRNA". It matches the Rfam family "Bacterial small subunit ribosomal RNA", at positions 69 to 1444 of the family's 1533-position model. The record is from RNAcentral. Lineage: Bacteria; Bacillati; Bacillota; Bacilli; Lactobacillales; Enterococcaceae.
UUCUUUUUCCACCGGAGCUUGCUCCACCGGAAAAAGAAGAGCGGCGAACGGGUGAGUAACACGUGGGUAACCUGCCCAUCAGAAGGGGAUAACACUUGGAAACAGGUGCUAAUACCGUAUAACAAUCGAAACCGCAUGGUUUUGAUUUGAAAGGCGCUUUCGGGUGUCGCUGAUGGAUGGACCCGCGGUGCAUUAGCUAGUUGGUGAGGUAACGGCUCACCAAGGCCACGAUGCAUAGCCGACCUGAGAGGGUGAUCGGCCACAUUGGGACUGAGACACGGCCCAAACUCCUACGGGAGGCAGCAGUAGGGAAUCUUCGGCAAUGGACGAAAGUCUGACCGAGCAACGCCGCGUGAGUGAAGAAGGUUUUCGGAUCGUAAAACUCUGUUGUUAGAGAAGAACAAGGAUGAGAGUAACUGUUCAUCCCUUGACGGUAUCUAACCAGAAAGCCACGGCUAACUACGUGCCAGCAGCCGCGGUAAUACGUAGGUGGCAAGCGUUGUCCGGAUUUAUUGGGCGUAAAGCGAGCGCAGGCGGUUUCUUAAGUCUGAUGUGAAAGCCCCCGGCUCAACCGGGGAGGGUCAUUGGAAACUGGGAGACUUGAGUGCAGAAGAGGAGAGUGGAAUUCCAUGUGUAGCGGUGAAAUGCGUAGAUAUAUGGAGGAACACCAGUGGCGAAGGCGGCUCUCUGGUCUGUAACUGACGCUGAGGCUCGAAAGCGUGGGGAGCAAACAGGAUUAGAUACCCUGGUAGUCCACGCCGUAAACGAUGAGUGCUAAGUGUUGGAGGGUUUCCGCCCUUCAGUGCUGCAGCUAACGCAUUAAGCACUCCGCCUGGGGAGUACGACCGCAAGGUUGAAACUCAAAGGAAUUGACGGGGGCCCGCACAAGCGGUGGAGCAUGUGGUUUAAUUCGAAGCAACGCGAAGAACCUUACCAGGUCUUGACAUCCUUUGACCACUCUAGAGAUAGAGCUUCCCCUUCGGGGGCAAAGUGACAGGUGGUGCAUGGUUGUCGUCAGCUCGUGUCGUGAGAUGUUGGGUUAAGUCCCGCAACGAGCGCAACCCUUAUUGUUAGUUGCCAUCAUUUAGUUGGGCACUCUAGCAAGACUGCCGGUGACAAACCGGAGGAAGGUGGGGAUGACGUCAAAUCAUCAUGCCCCUUAUGACCUGGGCUACACACGUGCUACAAUGGGAAGUACAACGAGUCGCGAAGUCGCGAGGCUAAGCUAAUCUCUUAAAGCUUCUCUCAGUUCGGAUUGUAGGCUGCAACUCGCCUACAUGAAGCCGGAAUCGCUAGUAAUCGCGGAUCAGCACGCCGCGGUGAAUACGUUCCCGGGCCUUGUACACACCGCCCGUCACACCACGAGAGUUUGUAACACCCGAAGUCGGUGAGGUAACCUUUU